RNAcentral lists this ribosomal RNA (253 nucleotides) under uncultured bacterium. RNAcentral's name for it is "partial 16S ribosomal RNA". It matches the Rfam family "Bacterial small subunit ribosomal RNA", at positions 524 to 776 of the family's 1533-position model. The record is from RNAcentral.
UACAGAGGUCUCAAGCGUUGUUCGGAUUCAUUGGGCGUAAAGGGUGCGUAGGCGGCGGGGAAAGUCUGAUGUGAAAUCCUGGGGCUCAACCCUGGAACUGCAUUGGAUACUUCCUUGCUAGAGUACUGGAGAGGAAACUGGAAUUUACGGUGUAGCAGUGAAAUGCGUAGAGAUCGUAAGGAAGACCAGUGGCGAAGGCGAGUUUCUGGACGAUAACUGACGCUGAGACGCGAAAGCGUGGGGAGCAAACAGG